AUACGGAGGAUCCGAGCGUUAUCCGGAUUUAUUGGGUUUAAAGGGUGCGCAGGCGGGAGAUUAAGUCGGCGGUGAAAUUUUGCAGCUCAACUGUAAAAGUGCCUUCGAAACUGGUUUCCUUGAGUGUAGAUGAAGUAGGCGGAAUUUGUGGUGUAGCGGUGAAAUGCAUAGAUAUCACGAGGAACUCCGAUUGCGCUGGCAGCUUACUAAACUACUACUGACGCUCAGGCACGAAGGCGUGGGGAUCAAACAGGAUUAGAUACCCUGGUAGUCCACGCAGUAAACGAUGAUUACUAGCUGUUUGCGAUACAAUGUAAGCGGCUGAGCGAAAGCGUUAAGUAAUCCACCUGGGGAGUACGUUCGCAAGAAUGAAACUCAAAUGAAUUGACGGGG
This 393-nucleotide ribosomal RNA is filed under the name uncultured bacterium. RNAcentral's name for it is "partial 16S ribosomal RNA". It matches the Rfam family "Bacterial small subunit ribosomal RNA", at positions 523 to 918 of the family's 1533-position model. The record is from RNAcentral.